CUGUGGCUGGAGCGCGGAACCACCUCAGGAGCUCUGGCGUGUGGGGCUGGCCCUGAGAGAGCUGGUUUCCUAGAUUGUCAGAACCGAUUGUUAAAUUUUCAGAAGUUUUGCACCAGUGUUAUUAAUAUUAAACUCUACAAGCACGUAAAAACAAAUACACACAAACCCUCACAUCCAAACUAUUUUACUCCUUCCUGUCUUUGAGGUUAUUUAGAUCAUUCCCAUCUGUGUGUGAAAAUUCUAUAAAAUGACAGGCUAUAGCACACCUCCUGCAGCCCUGAGCUCAGUGAGGUUGCACUGGUAGCUUGAAUUCAGCCUCAGAGGCAUUUACACCAUAGGAACAGGCAGAUGCUACAGGCCGGAACUUGAGCUGUCACUGUGUUUUGUACACGAAAUCAAUGGAUAAAAUGUUACUAGCGCAGAUUCAACCUAGUGGAAUACCAGAUCUGUGAGUUGUACCAAAAAGAGAGAGAGAGAGACAGAGAAGAAACACUCAUCCAAGUUCAAAACCCAUUAUCUAAUCCAGCAAAAAGUCACUUAUGUCAUUGAUAAAUAAAGUUCUGACGAUUGUUAAAUAUGCACCAGCUCCAUUGCCCAAAAGCAUCCAUCAGUAUUGGCAUUGGUAUUUUAAAAAUCUACUAGCUGAGACCCCCAUGCAGAGGGGGGAAGAAUCAGUGAUUCUAGAGGGAAACAAUGAUGAAGAGGAUUCUCACAGCAGCUGGCCUGAUGCAAGGCUCCCCCUCCAGUGGGUACAGCUCAGGGUCUAAGCACUUUGGGGUCAGAGAGGGUGGCAGGUUUUAGGGAGAGGCCCUAUCCAUUAGAGAGGUCUGGCCUGUGACUUUUUCUUGCUCUGAUUUGGUGGAUCAGAGGUCAUUCCCCAAGAUAGAACUCCUCAGGGCCAGGACUGUCUUAUAUAUCAAUCAACAGAAAACUUGGUUGAUGCUUCCUGGCUGAGUGGCAAAUGAAUUGAUGAAUUGUAUUAAGACAUGGUUUUUCUAAACAUCUCACAAUAAUAUUUUGGAUGAACUAAUCAUAGUACAGGGCUUCACUGUGGUACUCUGUGACCAUUAGAAAUGACACUUGGAAAUUUAAGACAACGCUCACAAUAUGUUAUUACAAAGGAAAAGCUACAAAAUAACAUAUAAAUUAUGAACACAGUUUGGUUUUGUAAAAACACAUGCUAAAUAUUUUCCCAAGCUGGA
RNAcentral lists this long non-coding RNA (1202 nucleotides) under Marmota monax (woodchuck). The record is from RNAcentral. Lineage: Eukaryota; Metazoa; Chordata; Mammalia; Rodentia; Sciuridae.